CUUUAAAGGAGAUACUGUUAGAGAGAGACGAUCCGAGUCAUCCUUAAAUAUGGGCAGGAUAUCAGUCUUGGACUGUCUAACCUGCCGGAGCAGCACUGAAUGAUCACCACACAUGAGCAUGUUCCUGCAACAUUCAGCAUCUGAUCUGCCAUCUGUGUGCUUCUGCUUUUGUGUCAAAUGUCAACCAGCUGGAGAGGAAACUACACCAGUGUACUGGGAUGUUUCAGCAACACGUGCCAGAUGCUGUUCCUUCAUGGUGACAUCACCAGAGACAGCCCCGCCCACCUCAGGACCUCGCCAUUGAUCAUGAUGAUUAUAAUGAUGACAGCGAGCGGAACUAAGACUGUAAAAAUCCACGACCAGAAUGUUUAGAUGCUUUCUAAUUAUUCAUGAAUACUGAGAGCCUCUUUCUGUGUUUUGUCUGUUUUGGUUUUUUUACCUCAUUUGUUACUAACAAAGUUCACCAAACUCACUCAGUUUACAUUCUGUAUGUUUCCAUCUUUACCAGCCACACUCUUAACUGCAAUUAAGAAAACAAACCGUAGAAAUUGUCGUUUUUCUCUUUUGUAAUUGAUGAUAAUUCAGUGAAUAUACGGCGCUGCUUCCUUUUAUUUCGUCUCACAUUGCUUUAAGUUUUUCAGUGCUCAGUUAUUUUUUACUGUUGUUUGAAUUCUCUAAAGAUUUGGA
Molecule: long non-coding RNA, 687 nt
Organism: Oreochromis aureus
Lineage: Eukaryota; Metazoa; Chordata; Actinopteri; Cichliformes; Cichlidae
Exons: 3
Source: RefSeq, a predicted model, not a curated record